RNAcentral lists this long non-coding RNA (225 nucleotides) under Ananas comosus (pineapple). RNAcentral describes it as "long non-coding RNA (ACOM_LNC044117)". Lineage: Eukaryota; Viridiplantae; Streptophyta; Magnoliopsida; Poales; Bromeliaceae. The record is from RNAcentral.
UAAUGAUUUUUGGAGUAUAAUCUUUAAUUUUUAUAAAAUUAAUUUGAUUUUGAAGGAUUUUUGAUGAAAAAAUCUCAAAAUUUUCGAAAUAUGUGAAAGUGUACCGGUAUAAAAUACCGUGUACCGGUACAAAUCACUGUAUACCGCGUUUUAUAACCGGUUACAGGAUCUCGUUUCUCACCCAAAUCAAAAUGAAAUUUCCUCCUUUCUCUCUCUAAAAAUCCC